This is a long non-coding RNA of Oncorhynchus masou masou (cherry salmon), 302 nucleotides long. RefSeq lists it as uncharacterized. The transcript is spliced from 3 exons. The record is from RefSeq and is a predicted model, not a curated record. NCBI's taxonomy places the organism in Eukaryota, Metazoa, Chordata, Actinopteri, Salmoniformes, Salmonidae.
CCCCGGAGUUAUAUACAAGUACGCCCCCUGUGCAGGAUGCAAGUCUGUGGCAUGGCAGUUCUGGCUGGGACAAGGUUUAACGUGAGUCAACGUGACUCCAAAAUGACAGGUGUAUGGCACAGAAAAAAUGUCCCUCAACUCCAAUUAUGUGUCAAGCCCUUCACAUUUCCCUCCCUACCUCCCUUUCUCACCUGCAGGGAACCCGUCCCAGAUCUCCAGCCAGUCGUAGCGACACAGUGCCCCGGGUGGAGGGGUGGUGUCAGGUUCCAUGUCGAACGCGUCGAAGUCCACCACGAUCUCGG